Molecule: ribosomal RNA, 587 nt
Filed under: Gaeumannomyces nanograminis
Lineage: Eukaryota; Fungi; Ascomycota; Sordariomycetes; Magnaporthales; Magnaporthaceae
Description: SSU rRNA
Rfam family: Eukaryotic small subunit ribosomal RNA
Source: RNAcentral
UCUGCCAGUAGUCAUAUGCUUGUCUUAAAGAUUAAGCCAUGCAUGUCUAAGUAUAAGCAAUUAUACAGCGAAACUGCGAAUGGCUCAUUAAAUCAGUUAUCGUUUAUUUGAUAGUACCUUACUACAUGGAUAACCGUGGUAAUUCUAGAGCUAAUACAUGCUGAAAACCCCGACUUCGGAAGGGGUGUAUUUAUUAGAUUAAAAACCAAUGCCCUUCGGGGCUCACUGGUGAUUCAUGAUAACUUCUCGAAUCGCACGGCCUUGCGCCGGCGAUGGUUCAUUCAAAUUUCUGCCCUAUCAACUUUCGACGGCUGGGUCUUGGCCAGCCGUGGUGACAACGGGUAACGGAGGGUUAGGGCUCGACCCCGGAGAAAACGCCUGAGAAACGGCGUUUACAUCCAAGGAAGGCAGCAGGCGCGCAAAUUACCCAAUGCCGACACGGCGAGGUAGUGACGAGAAAUACUGAUACAGGGCUCUUUUGGGUCUUGUAAUUGGAAUGAGUACAAUUUAAAUCUCUUAACGAGGAACAAUUGGAGGGCAAGUCUGGUGCCAGCAGCCGCGGUAAUUCCAGCUCCAAUAGCGUAUAU